ACUUUCGAUGGUAGGAUAGUGGCCUACCAUGGUGGCAACGGGUAACGGGGAAUUAGGGUUCGAUUCCGGAGAGGGAGCCUGAGAAACGGCUACCACAUCCAAGGAAGGCAGCAGGCGCGCAAAUUACCCAAUCCCGAUACGGGGAGGUAGUGACAAUAAAUACUGAUACGGGGCUCUUUUGGGUCUCGUAAUUGGAAUGAGAACAAUUUAAAUCCCUUAACGAGGAACAAUUGGAGGGCAAGUCUGGUGCCAGCAGCCGCGGUAAUUCCAGCUCCAAUAGCGUAUAUUAAAGUUGUUGCAGUUAAAAAGCUCGUAGUUGAACCUUGGGUCUGGCUGGCCG
RNAcentral lists this ribosomal RNA (340 nucleotides) under uncultured Trichocomaceae. RNAcentral describes it as "SSU rRNA". It matches the Rfam family "Eukaryotic small subunit ribosomal RNA", at positions 318 to 657 of the family's 1831-position model. Lineage: Eukaryota; Fungi; Ascomycota; Eurotiomycetes; Eurotiales; Trichocomaceae. The record is from RNAcentral.